UCAUCAAUCGGUGAUAUAUUGUAUAGGAAGCCACAGCCAUUAUAAAGGCGGCGUCUAUUAUUAGUAUAUCUUUUUUUGGGUGCAAAAAGGAACUCGAUUUUAUUAAAAGUUAACCAACAGUUCAGUACAAAAGUUCUCCAUAUGCAUCAUUCGAACAAACCUAAAGGUGGCAUGGUACAACUAGACAAAAGAUCAGCACUUGUGUAUCGAUUCUUCUCUCAAAAGACGUACUUGAUUGUCCCUCGAGUGUCCUGCAGUAAGAAACAAGAGUAGAUAGCAAAAUUUUAUUAUUAGACUCAUUAUUUAUAAGACUAAGGCUACGUCCGGGAUUACUUGUUGAGUCCCAAAAGCACUUUUGGGCUGCAGAAGCAACCCUAAAUACGGUGUGUUUGGGAUGUAAAAACACUUUGGAGAAAUGCUUUUAGAGACAAAAGAAAAAGUUAGAGAAAGGUGCUGUGGCUUUUGGGUUUUGAGAUGUUAAAAUAUCAUUUAAACCCUUAUUAUCUUCGUUCAACCAAAGUUGUUGGUUAUAUGCAACAUACAUUUUCUCUCUCCUGUUUCACCAAGAAAUUGUAGAGCAUGUUCUUCAGCUGUCAUUAGUGGCUCAAUCAACUCCCUCAU
This 621-nucleotide long non-coding RNA is filed under the name Gossypium raimondii (Peruvian cotton). Its description in RNAcentral is "long non-coding RNA (GRAI_LNC002371)". The record is from RNAcentral. Lineage: Eukaryota; Viridiplantae; Streptophyta; Magnoliopsida; Malvales; Malvaceae.